Molecule: ribosomal RNA, 519 nt
Filed under: uncultured Glomus
Lineage: Eukaryota; Fungi; Glomeromycota; Glomeromycetes; Glomerales; Glomeraceae
Description: SSU rRNA
Rfam family: Eukaryotic small subunit ribosomal RNA
Source: RNAcentral
AGCAGCCGCGGUAAUUCCAGCUCCAAUAGCGUAUAUUAAAGUUGUUGCAGUUAAAAAGCUCGUAGUUGAAUUUCGGGAUCAAUUAAUUGGUCGUGCCUAUGGUACGUACUGAUUUUAUUGGUUUCUCCCUUCUGACGAACCAUGAUGUCAUUAAUUUGGUGUCGUGGAGAAUCAGGACUGUUACUUUGAAAAAAUUAGAGUGUUUAAAGCAAGCUAACGCUUGAAUACAUUAGCAUGGAAUAAUGAAAUAGGACGUUUGAAUCGUUUGAUCCUAUUUUGUUGGUUUCUAGGAUCGACGUAAUGAUUAAUAGGGAUAGUUGGGGGCAUUAGUAUUCAAUUGUCAGAGGUGAAAUUCUUGGAUUUAUUGAAGACUAACUACUGCGAAAGCAUUUGCCAAGGAUGUUUUCAUUAAUCAAGAACGAAAGUUAGGGGAUCGAAGACGAUCAGAUACCGUCGUAGUCUUAACCAUAAACUAUGCCGACUAGGGAUCGGAUGAUGUUAAUUUUUUUUAAUGACUCA